Molecule: non-coding RNA, 30 nt
Filed under: Rattus norvegicus (Norway rat)
Lineage: Eukaryota; Metazoa; Chordata; Mammalia; Rodentia; Muridae
Source: RNAcentral
UACAUAGUGAGCUACAUAGAGGCUCUUGUU